GGAUGGGUGCCCGAGUGGUUGAAGGGACCGGUCUUGAAAACCGGCAAGGGUUAACGCUCUUCGUGGGUUCGAAUCCCACCCCAUCCGCCA
This 90-nucleotide transfer RNA is filed under the name Rhodospirillaceae bacterium. RNAcentral's name for it is "tRNA-Ser". It matches the Rfam family "tRNA". Rfam says of the family: Transfer RNA (tRNA) molecules are approximately 80 nucleotides in length. Their secondary structure includes four short double-helical elements and three loops (D, anti-codon, and T loops). The record is from RNAcentral. RNAcentral also lists the same sequence under 1 other name. Lineage: Bacteria; Pseudomonadati; Pseudomonadota; Alphaproteobacteria; Rhodospirillales; Rhodospirillaceae.